Molecule: ribosomal RNA, 444 nt
Filed under: Escherichia coli
Lineage: Bacteria; Pseudomonadati; Pseudomonadota; Gammaproteobacteria; Enterobacterales; Enterobacteriaceae
Description: bacterial SSU rRNA
Rfam family: Bacterial small subunit ribosomal RNA
Source: RNAcentral
GAGUAAUGUCUGGGAAACUGCCUGAUGGAGGGGGAUAACUACUGGAAACGGUAGCUAAUACCGCAUAACGUCGCAAGACCAAAGAGGGGGACCUUCGGGCCUCUUGCCAUCGGAUGUGCCCAGAUGGGAUUAGCUUGUUGGUGGGGUAACGGCUCACCAAGGCGACGAUCCCUAGCUGGUCUGAGAGGAUGACCAGCCACACUGGAACUGAGACACGGUCCAGACUCCUACGGGAGGCAGCAGUGGGGAAUAUUGCACAAUGGGCGCAAGCCUGAUGCAGCCAUGCCGCGUGUAUGAAGAAGGCCUUCGGGUUGUAAAGUACUUUCAGCGGGGAGGAAGGGAGUAAAGUUAAUACCUUUGCUCAUUGACGUUACCCGCAGAAGAAGCACCGGCUAACUCCGUGCCAGCAGCCGCGGUAAUACGGAGGGUGCAAGCGUAAUCGGA